Long non-coding RNA from Papaver somniferum (opium poppy), 1553 nucleotides. RefSeq lists it as uncharacterized. Lineage: Eukaryota; Viridiplantae; Streptophyta; Magnoliopsida; Ranunculales; Papaveraceae. The record is from RefSeq and is a predicted model, not a curated record. The transcript has 3 exons.
UACUCUUAAGUAUCGGGAAAUUGAUUUCUGAAUUUCGAAUGUCUUUGAUUAAAUUGUUUGAAUUUGAUUGUGGCAUGUGGGGGUAAAAUAAUAGAUCAUGGAGAAGUUGCAUCGAUUUGAAAUUUCAGGUUUGGACAACCUGUAUGGAAUUGUUGAUUUGAAACAUCCUAAACCUUGUACACCUUACUGUAAAUCAAAUUCAGGUAUGAGAUACCGAGAUUCCCGGCUAUUUCCGUCCAAAUUUCGCCGAGUCAACCAAGAAUUUCGGCCGAAUUCCGUCCAGGCGAAUCUAAAUUUUUGCUAACUUCAGUGCCGAAAACGGAGAUUGCGGUGAGAUUUCGUCGAUCUCGGCUAAAUCAGAAGCGGGUAGAAACAGGGUUUAACUUUCCCCUUUCGAGUUUCAUCAUUCCUCGCGGUCCUCAUUCCAACCCGCCUCUUCUUUCCCCAAACCCUAGUUUUCGAUUCCUUCUUUUUCAUUUGAUUCGAUUAGCAAUAUCGUUUCUUUCUCUUAGAAUCAUGCCAUCUUAAUUACCAAAGAUUUGCAUUGAAAACGAGUUCCGAUUUGGUCAUCUAUUAAACACUAUUCCACUUAUUUGUAUGGCCAAAUCAGUAGCAUAUUUAGGGUUCUGCUGCAUCAAUUUUUUAUGUAAUUUCAUCAGUCGAUGUUUAGGGCAUUAUAUUUGUGUCAAAUUUGGAUGUCGCUGAUAAGUUUUAUCUAGAGCCUAUUCACGGCGAGCUGGUCGUAGGGUUUAUCUUGAUUAAAUUCGCACUCGAUUAAGUUGAUUACACUCUGUCUAUUUAAUUAUUGACAUGAGCCCUUUUCAAUCUACUGAAUCAUCGGAUUAAUAUUGGGAGGUCAACCUAUGCAUCUGCUUCAGAGUGUUUUUCUUAGUUAUCUUAUCUUGUUGGUGGUCUAAUUCGUCCAUCAGACAACAUCGAAGUAACAUUCCAUCUUCAGUGAUCCCUAGUUACUGCAUGCACCUUGGUGUUGUUGCAAUUGCAUGACAUGCUGUCUCCACUGCUGUUUUAUUGUUGGGACUUACUUUAGGUAUCUAAACCCUGUUACAGGAUGAGCGCAGAAGAGUUUACUGCUUCAGAUGGUGAGUACAUAUGGAGCCUUGAAUGAGGUUCAAAAUGAGAUUCCAACGGGACGAAGUUCCAGAGGGAAGGUUUACAAGCACUGUAGUUGGAACUGGAGAUGCUGAUCCAAACAUGUGAAAUGGAUCAAAAUGGAGAUUCUUCAAGGUUUGCUGGGAUGACACUUCUGUCAUACCUUGUGUGGAGUGAGCCUCUCCCGGGAGAUUAGAACCAGCCUUGUCCUUUCCUGCACUGAAUCCCCUUGCAGUACCCAGGCCAGAGAUGCCACAUGCAAACAUAGUUUCAUAAGGGAAGGUAAUGAUCCAGCACUGCAUCUGAGGUCCUUGUUUUUUACUUUCUUGCUAUAUGACUUCAGGAGUAAAGAUGAUAUAAUUUGAUCUUUAUGCAGAGUGAAUUCAAGCUAUCUGUAACUUUUUGAGAAUCUAGAUUAUAAAUGAACUGCAUAGUCUUUUACA